This 330-nucleotide unclassified non-coding RNA is filed under the name Sphaerobolus ingoldii. RNAcentral describes it as "partial internal transcribed spacer region". The stretch from base 1 to 46 matches the Rfam family "Eukaryotic small subunit ribosomal RNA", at positions 1786 to 1831 of the family's 1831-position model. Lineage: Eukaryota; Fungi; Basidiomycota; Agaricomycetes; Geastrales; Sphaerobolaceae. The record is from RNAcentral.
AAGUCGUAACAAGGUUUCCGUAGGUGAACCUGCGGAAGGAUCAUUACAGUAUGAAUAGAAGGUUUUUGCUGCUGGCCUUACACCAAGGCAUGUGCGCACCUUCAAAUUUCUAAUCCACAUACACCUGUGAACCUUAGACGUAGAUUGGACUCCCAGCUUCUAUUUGGAGCUGCGAGCGGUUUCUAGGAGGUUUUCCUUCAAGAGACUGAGUCUGACUCGUCUACUUUAACAUAUACCCCUAAACAAGUUUUAAACGCAUGUCUUUUUAAUGGGCUCUAUGGAGCUUAUAAACAUUAAUACAACUUUCAACAACGGAUCUCUUGGCUUCAA